UGGAAAUGGAAGUAUAUGGGGAAUGGGAUUUUUCCAUUCUCAAGAAUGGAAUUCUGGAAGAAGAAGAAGGAGAAGUAAUGGUGGAAAAUCGUCAAAUUCGGAUUCAGUGGAUGCAAAUGGUGGAGCUGGUUAUCGUUUUCCUCUGAAGCAAGCUAUGACGGCUAGCUCUCUUGCACUUAGUGGUGACACCAUUGCUCAGCUUCGUGACCGGUGGCUCAAGAACAAAGAUAAUCUUCCUGAUCCAUCUCAUCCUAAGGAUAUGAUUGGUGCACUCCUAUCUGAGCAUGACUGGCUUCGGUCAGUCCGGAUGGCUUCAUAUGGAUUUUUGUUAUAUGGUCCCGGUACUUAUGCAUGGUACUCAUAUCUUGACAGAUGUAUGCCCAAGCAAAGCGUGGAGAAUGUAAUGAUGAAGGUUUUAUUAAACCAAAUAGUGCUAGGUCCUUCUGUAAUAGCUGUUAUCUUUGCAUGGAAUAAUUUAUGGCUGGGAAAACUUUCAGAACUUCCAAACAAGUAUCAGAAAGAUGCCCUUCCAACUUUAUUGUUCGGAUUUAGGUUCUGGAUCCCUGUCAGCAUUUUGAACUUUUGGGCCAUUCCUCUUCAAGCUCGUGUUGCAUUCAUGUCUAUGGCCUCUAUAUUCUGGAA
RNAcentral lists this unclassified non-coding RNA (642 nucleotides) under Hevea brasiliensis (rubber tree). Lineage: Eukaryota; Viridiplantae; Streptophyta; Magnoliopsida; Malpighiales; Euphorbiaceae. The record is from RNAcentral.